GAGAAAACAUACUUGAUCUCAUCAUCACGAACAUGGGAUCACAAUGUUCAACACUGGAAGUAUACCCCUCACUGGUGAGAUCAGAUCAUAAACUGAUCUCGCUGGAGGUCCACAUCCCGCCCCCACCUGAAAUAAAAAAGACCACAGU
Long non-coding RNA from Protopterus annectens (West African lungfish), 148 nucleotides. RefSeq lists it as uncharacterized. The transcript is spliced from 2 exons. The record is from RefSeq and is a predicted model, not a curated record. NCBI's taxonomy places the organism in Eukaryota, Metazoa, Chordata, Ceratodontiformes, Protopteridae.